AUACGGAGGGUGCAAGCGUUACUCUGAAUCACUGGGCGUAAAGCGCGCGCAGGCGGUCUUUUAAGUUGGAUGUGAAAGCCUAUAGCUCAACUGUAGAACUGCAUCCAAAACUAUUAGACUAGAGUCUGGGAGGGGAAGAUGGAAUUAGUUGUGUAGGGGUAAAAUCCGUAGAGAUAACUAGGAAUACCAAAAGCGAAGGCGAUCUUCUGGAACAGUACUGACGCUGAGGCGCGAAAGCGUGGGGAGCAAACAGGAUUAGAAACCCCAGUAGUCC
This 274-nucleotide ribosomal RNA is filed under the name uncultured bacterium. Its description in RNAcentral is "partial 16S ribosomal RNA". It matches the Rfam family "Bacterial small subunit ribosomal RNA", at positions 523 to 796 of the family's 1533-position model. The record is from RNAcentral.